GUAUUCCACUGGGGGGGCCGCACUGCGGCUGAGACAAGAACUGUUCUUGGACCCUUAGAACCUGAUCCGGCUCGUACCGGCGUAGGGAAGUGGAGCAGGUCCUUU
RNAcentral lists this non-coding RNA (105 nucleotides) under Saccharibacillus sacchari. RNAcentral describes it as "TPP sequence". It matches the Rfam family "TPP riboswitch aptamer (THI element)". From Rfam's summary of the family: Vitamin B(1) in its active form thiamin pyrophosphate (TPP) is an essential coenzyme that is synthesised by coupling of pyrimidine and thiazole moieties in bacteria. The previously detected thiamin-regulatory element, thi box was extended, resulting in a new, highly conserved RNA secondary structure, the THI element, which is widely distributed in eubacteria and also occurs in some archaea. Lineage: Bacteria; Bacillati; Bacillota; Bacilli; Caryophanales; Paenibacillaceae. RNAcentral also lists the same sequence under 1 other name. The record is from RNAcentral.